Molecule: ribosomal RNA, 481 nt
Filed under: uncultured bacterium
Lineage: Bacteria
Description: partial 16S ribosomal RNA
Rfam family: Bacterial small subunit ribosomal RNA
Source: RNAcentral
AUUGAACGCUGGCGGCAUGCCUUACACAUGCAAGUCGAACGGUAACGGGCCUUCGGGUGCCGACGAGUGGCGAACGGGUGAGUAAUACAUCGGAACGUGCCCGAUCGUGGGGGAUAACGAGGCGAAAGCUUUGCUAAUACCGCAUACGAUCUACGGAUGAAAGCAGGGGACCGCAAGGCCUUGCGCGGACGGAGCGGCCGAUGGCAGAUUAGGUAGUUGGUGGGAUAAAAGCUUACCAAGCCGACGAUCUGUAGCUGGUCUGAGAGGAUGAUCAGCCACACUGGGACUGAGACACGGCCCAGACUCCUACGGGAGGCAGCAGUGGGGAAUUUUGGACAAUGGGCGCAAGCCUGAUCCAGCCAUGCCGCGUGCAGGAUGAAGGCCUUCGGGUUGUAAACUGCUUUUGUACGGAACGAAAAGCCUUCUUUUAAUACAGGAGGGUCAUGACGGUACCGUAAGAAUAAACACCGGCUAACUACGU